Long non-coding RNA from Gallus gallus (chicken), 1042 nucleotides. The record is from Ensembl. Lineage: Eukaryota; Metazoa; Chordata; Aves; Galliformes; Phasianidae.
UAAAUACCUUUCCAGUCUCUCUAUUUGGCAAGCUAUUCUUCAGCUCCCCUCUUGUUCUCUGAGUCUUACAGAUGUAUUCCUUGAAGCCAGGGAGGGUCUCAGAAAAAAGAAAACACAAUAAAAGACUCCAGGUUGGAAGGACAAGUACCUUCAGGGGCCUGCAUAAGGAAGUUUGCAGCCUACGCUGAAGAAAAGCUAGAAUGAUGCUGGCAGCAGUGUUAUCUCUCACAGAGCACUGCAAAUCCAAGAAAAGAGGAAAUUGAAUCUGUUAAAACACACCACCUCCUCCAGUUCUCCAAGUGACCUCAGAGCUGGAAGAUGCUGUCCCUUGUUUUUGUGGAAAAGCAGACAUACGUCAACAUCUUAAUGCGAAAUGAAGGCGCUAAACAAGGUGUACAACAAGUUCUUCAAAAGGCACUCUCUGCAAAACAAAGACAGGAAUCCAAUAGAAGCCCAAAGGAGAAAGUUUUGCUUGGUAAAGAAUGACUAGCUCAUCUGGAGAAGAACAGGGAAAAAGACUGUUGGACAUCCACCAGUGGAUGUCUCAUGAGAACUGAUGGAUUCAGUCUAGCUACAAGAAAGUUUCUCUGCGGGUGCUAAGAAUCUGAAAGAAAAAGCCUGUUAAAACAAUGUGACCUGCCUGUUUUCUUCAUAAUUCUUCAUAUCCUUUCCUUCACAAACAGCAUGCUGCUUACCCCAUCUCCUCAGUCGCCCUGAAGUAUCAGGAGCAUGGGGAAGGGACCUUGCAGACACGCAGUCAUGAAAGCAAUGGUAGAAGCCUGUCUUUCCCUAUAUCUGCUCCACACUUCUUUCCCUAUGCUGUAUGAAGUAACAAAGUGCUUCUGUUUUCUUUGGAAAAUAUAUCUGAAGGCCAGAAAGGCACACUACAGUAUAAUUCCUUUGGAAUCUGGCUUAUCAGAAAAGCCCAAGCUGCAGGACACACACUUUGGUAUCAGUGUUAUUUGGUUCAGACUGUUAUUAUUUCAGUGAUACUAGAAAAGGUGGAAGUUCUUUAGCUUAUAGCAAUGGAUUUGGUUUCAGA